RNAcentral lists this transfer RNA (81 nucleotides) under Candidatus Flexifilum breve. Its description in RNAcentral is "tRNA-Leu". It matches the Rfam family "tRNA". Rfam says of the family: Transfer RNA (tRNA) molecules are approximately 80 nucleotides in length. Their secondary structure includes four short double-helical elements and three loops (D, anti-codon, and T loops). Lineage: Bacteria; Bacillati; Chloroflexota; Anaerolineae; Aggregatilineales; Candidatus Flexifilaceae. The record is from RNAcentral.
GCCCCGGUGGCGGAAUGGCAUACGCAGCAGCUUGAGGGGUUGUGCCCUAUGGGCGUGGAGGUUCGAGUCCUCUCCGGGGCA